Molecule: ribosomal RNA, 253 nt
Filed under: uncultured bacterium
Lineage: Bacteria
Description: partial 16S ribosomal RNA
Rfam family: Bacterial small subunit ribosomal RNA
Source: RNAcentral
UACGAAGGGGGCUAGCGUUGCUCGGAAUCACUGGGCGUAAAGCGCACGUAGGCGGAUUGUUAAGUCAGGGGUGAAAUCCUGGAGCUCAACUCCAGAACUGCCUUUGAUACUGGCGAUCUUGAGUCCGGGAGAGGUGAGUGGAACUGCGAGUGUAGAGGUGAAAUUCGUAGAUAUUCCCAAGAACACCAGUGGCGAAGGCGGCUCACUGGCCCGGUACUGACGCUGAGGUGCGAAAGCGUGGGGAGCAAACAGG